This 220-nucleotide long non-coding RNA is filed under the name Gossypium raimondii (Peruvian cotton). RNAcentral describes it as "long non-coding RNA (GRAI_LNC002246)". The record is from RNAcentral. Lineage: Eukaryota; Viridiplantae; Streptophyta; Magnoliopsida; Malvales; Malvaceae.
GACAAUAGAGAAGAAUACCCUUCCCGACGGCGAGGUCGCGGCCUUCCCCAGGUACACUCACUCUUUUUUUUUGUUUUAAAUGAGAUAAAAUCUAAAUGAAUAAUAAAAAAAACUUGCAAAAAGGAAAAAAAAAAGAAACAGAAAAAUAGAAUGGCCAAAAUCACCUUGAAAAUUCAAGAGGAUAUUUGGCUAUUCAGUCAAUCGAGAAAUCGAAACCCAG